Non-coding RNA from Elaeis guineensis (African oil palm), 1610 nucleotides. Lineage: Eukaryota; Viridiplantae; Streptophyta; Magnoliopsida; Arecales; Arecaceae. The record is from RefSeq and is a predicted model, not a curated record.
CUCUCUCUCUCUCUCUCUAUCUGAACUAGCUCUCUCGAUCCUCUCUCUGUUCUUUAACUUCACUCUCCCAUCUCCUCCUCCACUCCUACCACCUAUAGAUCUCUUCGUCCCCUCUUAGCUAGGUUUACUCUUGAUGUUGUCUCGAGUGCUCCCUUACCCUCCUCAGAGGUCAUUAAUGGCGUACCAUAGCUGGAAGCCCAACAUGGAGCUAGCACCUGUUUGCCCCCGAUGUGAUUCCUCCAACACCAAGUUCUGCUACUACAACAACUACAGCUUAACACAGCCUCGCUACUUUUGCAAAGGCUGCAGAAGGUAUUGGACCAAAGGGGGAACCAUUCGGAAUGUCCCCGUCGGUGGUGGGUGCCGCAAGAACCGGCGUGGGAAAUCUGCGAGAUCGCAAGCAAAUCAUCCUACGUCCCUCAGCAAUCUAAUUUACGACAGUCAUGGACUGCUGGAUUCUGAUCGUUCCGGCCAUGCACAGCACGAUGGCAUGCGAGGGAGUUCCCAUCAUUCCAACAAGAGCGAGCUUCCCCCUUCUGAGGGAUCCGCGAUUGACCUUGCGCUACUUUACACCAAGUUUGUUAACCAGUGUCCUGUGUUGAACUCCGAUCCUGCUGUUCCCGAAUUGCCGGGAGAAAUCAUGGACGAGUCUUUCAGUGUGAUGGGAGGUGCGUCGACUUCGGUGAUGAACCAAAUGCCUGACCAAGGAUUGAAUCAGCUUGGAGGCUGGGAGAUCACGGAAGCUCGAUUUGAGAACCAAAUGUAUCCAGAGGACAGCAACUUCUCCCUGGAUCCGGGCAGCUCUGAGUCGGUGACAUUCUCCUCGGAAGGAGUUGUUACCGGUAAUGACGUCACUGCGUCAGAUUGUUGGACUCCCCAACCAAUGUUUCCAGGAUUCCAACCACUGCUUGAGGAUGAUAUGUUUCACCAUCAAGAUCUUGUGAUUGGUGAUUGCCACGAGAACGCAGACAUGUUUGGUUUCCUGCAAUUCACUGAGAUGCAGCAACUUGAGUUACAAAGUAGGUUCAAAUGGCAGCAUUUUGACUCGCAGCCAAAGCGACUGCGGAAAAGAUGCAGCAUCUCACGAAACGAAUCAGUUUGCCAUUCCGACGCUCCGAUCGGCUCGUCCAAGACCACUCUCCUCUCAGACCACCUCGGCCUUUAAUUUGAUACAUCGACCACUAGGGCACUCCGUUUGGGCAUCCUAGUGCUUGGAUCAACCAUCCCGGAGCUCGAAUCAACUACUUCGUCACUUUGUUCCCCACACCGACAAUAUGGCCGGUCAGCCGUUCCAGCGGCUCCGAUCAACUAUUCUGGUACUCCAUUCCUUCGCCAAGUAUUCCGAUUGGCCACUAACGAAGAAGAGAGGGAAGGAAGGAGAAAUCCACCCAUGUGGUUGACUCGAACAUUGUAUGCGUGGAUCAAGGCUUGCUGACCAAAGGAGAAAUAGAAGUUCGGCAAAAUGGUUGAGAAGGUCUGCCUUCAUGAAGACCUUCAGUUCGUUUCAUUUGGAGACUCUGUGACAUAUGAGCUCUUUGGAGAAUGCCACUAGCAUAUUUCAAGGAGAGGUAUGCAGAGCCUGUUGCUAACUCGACAAGACACAUGACGAU